This 87-nucleotide small RNA is filed under the name uncultured Enterobacter sp. Its description in RNAcentral is "sroD RNA". It matches the Rfam family "sroD RNA". From Rfam's summary of the family: This family consists of a number of bacterial sroD RNA genes of around 90 bases in length. sroD is found in several Enterobacterial species but its function is unknown. Lineage: Bacteria; Pseudomonadati; Pseudomonadota; Gammaproteobacteria; Enterobacterales; Enterobacteriaceae. The record is from RNAcentral.
UUACGUGACGAAGCCCGUGCCAAAGUAGACAAUAAGGCCUGAGCCUCACGUUAAUCGCCCCAGACGCCGGUUAAGCCGGCGUUUUUU